AUUGAACGCUGGCGGCAGGCUUAACACAUGCAAGUCGAGCGGGGGAAGGUAGCUUGCUACCGGACCUAGCGGCGGACGGGUGAGUAAUGCUUAGGAAUCUGCCUAUUAGUGGGGGACAACAUCUCGAAAGGGAUGCUAAUACCGCAUACGUCCUACGGGAGAAAGCAGGGGAUCUUCGGACCUUGCGCUAAUAGAUGAGCCUAAGUCGGAUUAGCUAGUUGGUGGGGUAAAGGCCUACCAAGGCGACGAUCUGUAGCGGGUCUGAGAGGAUGAUCCGCCACACUGGGACUGAGGCACGGCCCAGACUCCUACGGGAGGCAGCAGUGGGGAAUAUUGGACAAUGGGGGGAACCCUGCUCCAGCCAUGCCGCGUGUGUGAAGAAGGCCUUAUGGUUGUAAAGCACUUUAAGCGAGGAGGAGGCUACUUUAGUUAAUACCUAGAGAUAGUGGACGUUACUCGCAGAAUAAGCACCGGCUAACUCUGUGCCAGCCGCCGCAGUAA
Molecule: ribosomal RNA, 501 nt
Filed under: uncultured bacterium
Lineage: Bacteria
Description: partial 16S ribosomal RNA
Rfam family: Bacterial small subunit ribosomal RNA
Source: RNAcentral